RNAcentral lists this ribosomal RNA (497 nucleotides) under uncultured bacterium. RNAcentral describes it as "partial 16S ribosomal RNA". It matches the Rfam family "Bacterial small subunit ribosomal RNA", at positions 28 to 507 of the family's 1533-position model. The record is from RNAcentral.
GAUGAACGCUGGCGGCGUGCCUAAUACAUGCAAGUCGAGCGAACGGACGAGAAGCUUGCUUUUCUGAUGUUAGCGGCGGACGGGUGAGUAACACGUGGAUAACCUACCUAUAAGACUGGGAUAACUUCGGGAAACCGGAGCUAAUACCGGAUAAUAUUUUGAACCGCAUGGUUCAAAAGUGAAAGACGGUCUUGCUGUCACUUAUAGAUGGAUCCGCGCUGCAUUAGCUAGUUGGUAAGGUAACGGCUUACCAAGGCAACGAUGCAUAGCCGACCUGAGAGGGUGAUCGGCCACACUGGAACUGAGACACGGUCCAGACUCCUACGGGAGGCAGCAGUAGGGGAUCUUCCGCAAUGGGCGAAAGCCUGACGGAGCAACGCCGCGUGAGUGAUGAAGGUCUUCGGAUCGUAAAACUCUGUUAUUAGGGAAGAACAUAUGUGUAAGUAACUGUGCACAUCUUGACGGUACCUAAUCAGAAAGCCACGGCUAACUACGUG